Cynoglossus semilaevis (tongue sole) is the source of this 377-nucleotide long non-coding RNA. RefSeq lists it as uncharacterized. The transcript is spliced from 3 exons. NCBI's taxonomy places the organism in Eukaryota, Metazoa, Chordata, Actinopteri, Pleuronectiformes, Cynoglossidae. The record is from RefSeq and is a predicted model, not a curated record.
GACUUUCUGUACUGACCACUCUGUCUGUGUCUCUGUGGUCUGUAUGUCUGUGUAAUGCUUCGCAAAACCAACAAGACAGAAAACAAGAAUCUCUGCUGUUUUCAAACAACCAGACAGAACCAAACAAGGAGGCAUUCUUGAAAGGUCCCGAAGAUGAACUUCCUGAUGAAGACGUCCUCCAGUGUUCGUUCAGCUGCUCCAUCUUCCCCAUGAAGGUUACCUGUCAGAAAUGAAAGGUGAUACUUACCGGGAUGCUGUGACAACCAUCCUUUACGAUGGCCAAUGUGAUGAGGGUGAAACGACUGCUCGUAUGUCACGGCUUUUUCUCCUUUUCCCACCCGGAUGCGAGCGGCAAAAUUCUGAAGACAAAAUGAAAA